This 429-nucleotide ribosomal RNA is filed under the name Chloroflexota bacterium. RNAcentral's name for it is "Chloroflexi bacterium partial 16S ribosomal RNA". It matches the Rfam family "Bacterial small subunit ribosomal RNA", at positions 355 to 776 of the family's 1533-position model. The record is from RNAcentral. Lineage: Bacteria; Bacillati; Chloroflexota.
UGGGGAAUAUUGCACAAUGGGCGCAAGCCUGAUGCAGCCAUGCCGCGUGUAUGAAGAAGGCCUUCGGGUUGUAAAGUACUUUCAGUCGGGAGGAAGGUGGUAAGGUUAAUAACCUUAUCAAUUGACGUUACCGACAGAAGAAGCACCGGCUAACUCCGUGCCAGCAGCCGCGGUAAUACGGAGGGUGCAAGCGUUAAUCGGAAUUACUGGGCGUAAAGCGCACGCAGGCGGUUGAUUGAGUCAGAGGUGAAAUCCCCGGGCUUAACCCGGGAAUUGCAUCUGAUACUGGUCAGCUAGAGUCUUGUAGAGGGGGGUAGAAUUCCAUGUGUAGCGAUGAAAUGCGUAGAGAUGUGGAGGAAUACCGGUGGCGAAGGCGGCCCCCUGGACAAAGACUGACGCUCAGGUGCGAAAGCGUGGGGAGCAAACAGG